Molecule: long non-coding RNA, 1848 nt
Organism: Onychostoma macrolepis
Lineage: Eukaryota; Metazoa; Chordata; Actinopteri; Cypriniformes; Cyprinidae
Exons: 3
Source: RefSeq, a predicted model, not a curated record
UAUGACUGUAGAAUAAAGCCAUUCUUGGCAAAAACAGCAGAUAGCCUUUGUCUUGGUUUGUACAGUUGCAGUUAAUGCUGACAAAUUAGGGCUGAGGUUUCGAAAGAAUUUAGUCACAUAGCCACCAGAUACUCUUAAAUGCAUCAUCAGGGGUUGCUGGUCAAAUAGUCACAAAGCGGUGCCAAAUUUUGAAAGUCAUUAUCCGAAUGAUGCAGUCGGCAGUAAUCAGAAAGGGGCGGAUUUGACAGAUGGAGCGCAGUUUCUUUCUUCUCCCAAUCAACCUUCACGCUGCUGGUGGUGUGAGUGACGCAGCUCGCAGUUGCUCUCGCGGUCUGCUGCUGUAGUAAAGCGCAGGCUCUGUUGUCAAGCUACUUGCUUCGUCUUCACGGAAAACAUCGACUAACGUUCCGUUCAUUUCAUGUAUUCAUCCUUGUCGAUGUAUUCACGCGCACUUUCAAAGUCGGUCAUAGAGAAAGAAAGCAUGACCGCUAAUACCCUGUGGUUUAUUUCCCUCUUAAAUUCACGAAUGAUGAAAAAUAAACCUCGCUCGCUUUGUGAUACACGCACCAGAAAAGCAGAUACUCCAGCAGAAGAUACAUGUUCAUUUUAGCGUUAAAUCAACCACAGUUUUAGCGUUGAAAGGUAUGUUUUUUAAGCAACUAAAUAUUGUAUGUAAGCACAUACGUUCGCCUGAGACGAUCAAUAGUGUGAGGGCGAUAUGGUAACGAUCGUUAUUUCAAACACCGACUGGCAGAGCUACAGUUAAACCGUGCUCUGUUGGCCGUGUAAGGAUUUUGUGCGUGGGUUCUGGGUUGCUAGCCGGUUUGAGGGUGCAUUUUGUCUCGACCAAUCCUGCGCGGUGCUCUAGGUCCCGGCAUGCCCAAUGCGGGCAGGGGGAGGCUCCGGCCAAUUUGAAUGAAGACUGGAGCUUUCGGCGCCAUUUUCGAGUGAGCAGCUACAGCAACAACAGCUGCCUAGAGAGGCUCCGCACUCUAGUCCAGUAAUUUCAGUGAGGGGACACUUUUUCUUUUUGUUUCCAGAAAACAAAGAGAGGUUUUUUUUUUUUUUUUUUCUGAAUUCGACCACAAAUUUGAGACGACUGUUUCCCGGUGGAUAAAUGCGACGGACACAAAAGACGCUGUGUAGUGACAACAAAUAGUGAAGUGAAGACUGAAGUGAGCUAGGAAGCUAAUCCGGCUAGCAUCUCCAGCCGAGAAGGGGCGUCCGACUGGAGCCGCGCUGUGGAAACGAUAUAAUUUUGUAUUAUUUUUUCGAAAAAUCUAACAAAUACGCGGAUGUCUUGAAAAUUCUAUAAAAAAUUCGGAAAAUUCUCGCAGGCGACGACGAAUAGAUUGGUGUGGGUAGUUUGGUGGAGCGAGGUGGUUUUGUGCAUUUUUUAAACGUUAAGUUUGAGCGGGAUUGGUGAUGUGAGCGAGACGGCCGGCGAGCCCGACAGCCUAUCAGCGAGCGAUACACCGGGAUGCCACACCGACCAACACUGUCCUAUUCUUUACUACAGUUUUCCUUCCUCUUUCAGUAGGAAAACAACGAUGACCAGAGUGCCUUUUUAUUUUUUCCGUUUUUUUGCACGAACUGUUUGUAAUGAGUGCGCCGUCAGAAUUUUUAACUGAAAACUUUUUUUGUGGAUUUACAAAUAUGUUCAGGUGUUUUAGAAUUUGCCUGCAUGGUUGUGACAUCAGAAUCUAGAAAACAAUUCAAGAUAGAGUCCUGGAAUGCCUCAAUCCCUGCUGAGAGAAAGAGAGAGAGGGAGGAGAGGAGUCGCUCGCUCUGAGAUUCUGGCAGUGCUUGGUCAUGUUGCCGAGGGUGUGAGUGUGUGAUUGAGAGAGA